CUACGGGUCGCUCCAGUGGGGAAUAUUGGACAAUGGGGGAAACCCUGAUCCAGCAAUGCCGCGUGUGUGAGGAAGGCCUGCGGGUUGUAAAGCACUUUCGGUUGGGAGGACUGCUUCUAGCACUAAUAUUGUUGGAAGUUGACGUUACCUUCAGAAGAAGCACCGGCUAGCUCCGUGCCAGCAGCCGCAGUAAUACGGAGGGUGCAAGCGUUAAUCGGGAUUACUGGGCGUAAAGCGCGCGUAGGCGGCUAGAUCAGUCGGGUGUGAAAGCCCCGGGCUUAACCUGGGAACUGCAUCCGAUACUGUCUAGCUUGAGUACAGGAGAGGAGAGUGGAAUUCCACAUGUAGCGGUGAAAUGCGUAGAUAUGUGGAGGAACACCAAUGGCGAAGGCAGCUCUCUGGCCUGAUACUGACGCUGAGGUGCGAAAGCGUGGGGAGCAAACAGGAUUAGAUACCCCUGUAGUC
Molecule: ribosomal RNA, 465 nt
Filed under: uncultured bacterium
Lineage: Bacteria
Description: partial 16S ribosomal RNA
Rfam family: Bacterial small subunit ribosomal RNA
Source: RNAcentral